RNAcentral lists this transfer RNA (78 nucleotides) under Bacteroidota bacterium. Its description in RNAcentral is "Bacteroidetes bacterium (sediment metagenome) tRNA-Val". It matches the Rfam family "tRNA". Rfam says of the family: Transfer RNA (tRNA) molecules are approximately 80 nucleotides in length. Their secondary structure includes four short double-helical elements and three loops (D, anti-codon, and T loops). The record is from RNAcentral. Lineage: Bacteria; Pseudomonadati; Bacteroidota.
GGGAGCUUAGCUCAGCUGGUUCAGAGCAUCUGGUUUACACCCAGAGGGUCGGGGGUUCGAAUCCCUCAGCUCCCACAA